RNAcentral lists this ribosomal RNA (403 nucleotides) under uncultured bacterium. RNAcentral's name for it is "partial 16S ribosomal RNA". It matches the Rfam family "Bacterial small subunit ribosomal RNA", at positions 30 to 526 of the family's 1533-position model. The record is from RNAcentral.
AUUGAACGCUGGCGGCAGGCCUAACACAUGCAAGUCGAGCGAGCGGCGGACGGGUGAGUAAUGUAUGGGGACUGCCCGAAAGAGGGGGAUAACUACUGGAAACGGUAUCUAAUACCGCAUACUAUCGGCUAACCCCUAUGGGAUUAGCUAGUAGGGGAGGUAAUGGCUCACCUAGGCGACGAUCCCUAGCUGGUCUGAGAGGAUGAUCAGCCACACUGGGACUGAGACAAGGCCCAGACUCCUACGGAGGCAGCAGUGGGGAAUAUUGCACAAUGGGCGCAAGCCUGAUGCAGCCAUGCCGCGUGUAUGAAGAAGGCCCUAGGGUUGUAAAGUACUUUCAGUCGGGAGGCGUUACCGACAGAAGAAGCACCGGCUAACUCCGUGCCAGCAGCCGCGGUAAUAC